Molecule: ribosomal RNA, 1360 nt
Filed under: Nostochopsis sp. 89-45
Lineage: Bacteria; Bacillati; Cyanobacteriota; Cyanophyceae; Nostocales; Hapalosiphonaceae
Description: 16S ribosomal RNA
Rfam family: Bacterial small subunit ribosomal RNA
Source: RNAcentral
UAGAGUUUGAUUCCCGGCUCAGGAUGAACGCUGGCGGUAUGCUUAACACAUGCAAGUCGAACGGUGUAGAGAGUUAGCAUUGCUAGGUCUCUAGAUAGUGGCGGACGGGUGAGUAACGCGUGAGAAUCUAGCUCUAGGUUCGGGACAACCACUGGAAACGGUGGCUAAUACCGGAUAUGCCGAGAGGUGAAAGGUUAACUGCCUGGAGAAGAGUUCGCGUCUGAUUAGCUAGUUGGUAGUGUAAGGGACUACCAAGGCGACGAUCAGUAGCUGGUCUGAGAGGAUGAUCAGCCACACUGGAACUGAGACACGGUCCAGACUCCUACGGGAGGCAGCAGUGGGGAAUUUUCCGCAAUGGGCGAAAGCCUGACGGAGCAAUACCGCGUGAGGGAGGAAGGCUCUUGGGUUGUAAACCUCUUUUCUCAGGGAAUAAGCAAGUGAAGGUACCUGAGGAAUCAGCAUCGGCUAACUCCGUGCCAGCAGCCGCGGUAAUACGGAGGAUGCAAGCGUUAUCCGGAAUGAUUGGGCGUAAAGCGUCCGUAGGUAGCAGUGUGUGUCUAUUGUUAAAGAGUUUGGCUCAACCAAAUAAGGGCGGUAGAAACUACACAGCUAGAGUGCGUUCGGGGCAGAGGGAAUUCCUGGUGUAGCGGUGAAAUGCGUAGAGAUCAGGAAGAACACCGGUGGCGAAAGCGCUCUGCUAGGCCGCAACUGACACUGAGGGACGAAAGCUAGGGGAGCGAAUGGGAUUAGAUACCCCAGUAGUCCUAGCCGUAAACGAUGGAUACUAGGCGUUGAGAGUAUCGACCCUCUCAGUGCCGUAGCUAACGCGUUAAGUAUCCCGCCUGGGGAGUACGCACGCAAGUGUGAAACUCAAAGGAAUUGACGGGGGCCCGCACAAGCGGUGGAGUAUGUGGUUUAAUUCGAUGCAACGCGAAGAACCUUACCAGGGCUUGACAUGUCUGGAAUCUUGAUGAAAGUUGAGAGUGCCUUCGGGAGCCAGAACACAGGUGGUGCAUGGCUGUCGUCAGCUCGUGUCGUGAGAUGUUGGGUUAAGUCCCGCAACGAGCGCAACCCUCGUACUUAGUUGCCAGCACUUCGGGUGGGCACUCUAAGGAGACUGCCGGUGACAAACCGGAGGAAGGUGGGGAUGACGUCAAGUCAGCAUGCCCCUUACGCCCUGGGCUACACACGUACUACAAUGCUACGGACAAAGGGCAGCGAGCCAGCGAUGGCAAGCAAAUCUCGUAAAACCGUAGCUCAGUUCAGAUCGCAGGCUGCAACUCGCCUGCGUGAAGUCGGAAUCGCUAGUAAUUGCAGGUCAGCAUACUGCGGUGAAUUCGUUCCCGGGCCUUGUACACAC